UCGGGAAUAUUGCGCAAUGGAGGAAACUCUGACGCAGUGACGCCGCGUAUAGGAAGAAGUUUUUCGGAAUGUAAACUAUUGUCGUUAGGGAAGAGAAAGGACAGUACCUAAGGAGGAAGCUCCGGCUAACUACGUGCCAGCAGCCGCGGUAAUACGUAGGGAGCGAGCGUUAUCCGGAAUUAUUGGGUGUAAAGGGUGCGUAGACGGGAGAGCAAGUUAGUUGUGAAAUCCCUCGGCUUAACUGAGGAACUGCAACUAAACUACUUUUCUUGAGUGCACGAGAGGUAAGUGGAAUUCCUAGUGUAGCGGUGAAAUGCGUAGAUAUUAGGAGGAACACCAGUGGCGAAGGCGACUUACUGGACUGUAACUGACGUUGAGGCACGAAAGUGUGGGGAGCAAACAGGAUUAGAUACC
This 414-nucleotide ribosomal RNA is filed under the name uncultured bacterium. Its description in RNAcentral is "bacterial SSU rRNA". It matches the Rfam family "Bacterial small subunit ribosomal RNA", at positions 355 to 786 of the family's 1533-position model. The record is from RNAcentral.